RNAcentral lists this unclassified non-coding RNA (244 nucleotides) under uncultured Pleosporales. Its description in RNAcentral is "sequence contains 5.8S rRNA gene, ITS2, 28S rRNA gene". The record is from RNAcentral. Lineage: Eukaryota; Fungi; Ascomycota; Dothideomycetes; Pleosporales.
AACGCACAUUGCGCCCCUUGGUAUUCCAUGGGGCAUGCCUGUUCGAGCGUCAUUUUGUACCCUCAAGCACUGCUUGGUGUUGGGCGUUUGUCCUGCAGAGGACUCGCCUGAAAGCGAUUGGCGGCCAACGUAGUCGUGGCAGAGCGCAGCACAAUCUCGCGUCUCUUCCCUCUGCGUCGGCGUCCAUAAGCCUACAAUCUCAACGGUUGACCUCGGAUCAGGUAGGGAUACCCGCUGAACUUAA